ACGGGAGGCAGCAGUGGGGAAUAUUGGGCAAUGGGCGCAAGCCUGACCCAGCGACGCCGCGUGAGGGAAGAAGGUCUUCGGAUUGUAAACCUCUUUCAGCAGGGAAGAAGCAAGUGACGGUACCUGCAGAAGAAGUCACGGCUAACUACGUGCCAGCAGCCGCGGUAAUACGUAGGUGGCAAGCGUUAUCCGGAUUUACUGGGUGUAAAGGGCGCGUAGGCGGGGAUGCAAGUCAGAUGUGAAAUCCAUGGGCUCAACCCAUGAACUGCAUUUGAAACUGUAUCUCUUGAGUGCUGGAGAGGUAGAUGGAAUUCCUAGUGUAGCGGUGAAAUGCGUAGAUAUUAGGAAGAACACCAGUGGCGAAGGCGAUCUACUGGACAGUAACUGACGCUGAGGCGCGAAAGCGUGGGGAGCAAACAGGAUUAGAUACCCUGGUA
This is a ribosomal RNA of 437 nucleotides. It matches the Rfam family "Bacterial small subunit ribosomal RNA", at positions 341 to 792 of the family's 1533-position model.